RNAcentral lists this ribosomal RNA (370 nucleotides) under uncultured organism. RNAcentral describes it as "partial 16S ribosomal RNA". It matches the Rfam family "Bacterial small subunit ribosomal RNA", at positions 527 to 896 of the family's 1533-position model. The record is from RNAcentral.
GUAGGGUGCAAGCGUUAAUCGGAAUUACUGGGCGUAAAGCGUGCGCAGGCGGGGUUUGUAAGUCUGUCGUGAAAGCCCCGGGGCUCAACCUGGGAAUUGCGAUGGAGACUGCAAGGCUUGAAUCUGGCAGAGGGGGUAGAAUUCCACGUGUAGCAGUGAAAUGCGUAGAGAUGUGGAGGAACACCGAUGGCGAAGGCAGCCCCCUGGGUCAAGAUUGACGCUCAUGCACGAAAGCGUGGGGAGCAAACAGGAUUAGAUACCCUGGUAGUCCACGCCCUAAACGAUGUCUACUAGUUGUCGGGUUUUAAUUAACUUGGUAACGCAGCUAACGCGUGAAGUAGACCGCCUGGGGAGUACGGUCGCAAGAUUA